Molecule: ribosomal RNA, 449 nt
Filed under: uncultured bacterium
Lineage: Bacteria
Description: bacterial SSU rRNA
Rfam family: Bacterial small subunit ribosomal RNA
Source: RNAcentral
ACGCCAGACUCCUACGGGAGGCAGCAGUGGGGAAUAUUGCACAAUGGGGGAAACCCUGAUGCAGCGACGCCGCGUGAGUGAAGAAGUAAUUCGUUACGUAAAGCUCUAUCAGCAGGGAAGAAAAUGACGGUACCUGAGUAAGAAGCCCCGGCUAACUACGUGCCAGCAGCCGCGGUAAUACGUAGGGGGCGAGCGUUAUCCGGAAUUACUGGGUGUAAAGGGAGCGUAGACGGCGAGGUAAGCCUGAAGUGGAAGCCCGCGGCCCAACCGCGGAACUGCUUUGGGAACUGUUUUGCUGGAGUAUGGGAGGGGUAAGCGGAAUUCCUGGUGUAGUGGUGAAAUGCGUAGAUAUCAGGAGGAACACCGGUGGCGAAGGCGGCUUACUGGACCAUAACUGACGUUGAGGCUCGAAAGCGUGGGGAGCAAACAGGAUUAGAUACCCGUGUAUU